RNAcentral lists this unclassified non-coding RNA (218 nucleotides) under plant metagenome. RNAcentral's name for it is "partial contains small subunit ribosomal RNA, internal transcribed spacer 1, and 5.8S ribosomal RNA". The stretch from base 1 to 53 matches the Rfam family "Eukaryotic small subunit ribosomal RNA", at positions 1778 to 1831 of the family's 1831-position model. The record is from RNAcentral.
GGAAGUAAAAGUGUAACAAGGUCUCCGUUGGUGAACCAGCGGAGGGAUCAUUACCGAGUUUACAACUCCCAAACCCCUGUGAACAUACCUAUCGUUGCCUCGGCGGUGCCCGCUCCGGCGGCCCGCCAGAGGACCCCCAAACUCUUGUUUUAUACAGUAUCUUCUGAGUAACACGAUUAAAUAAAUCAAAACUUUCAACAACGGAUCUCUUGGUUCUG